This 76-nucleotide transfer RNA is filed under the name Holosporaceae bacterium. Its description in RNAcentral is "tRNA-Thr". It matches the Rfam family "tRNA". From Rfam's summary of the family: Transfer RNA (tRNA) molecules are approximately 80 nucleotides in length. Lineage: Bacteria; Pseudomonadati; Pseudomonadota; Alphaproteobacteria; Holosporales; Holosporaceae. The record is from RNAcentral.
GCCGAAAUAGCUCAGCUGGUAGAGCAAUUGAUUCGUAAUCAAUAGGUCGGAGGUUCAAGUCCUCUUUUCGGCACCA